UACGGAGGGUGCGAGCGUUAUCCGGAUUUACUGGGUUUAAAGGGUGUGUAGGCGGGCUUUUAAGUCAGUGGUGAAAUCUUCAGGCUCAACCUGGAAACUGCCAUUGAUACUAUUAGUCUUGAAUACUGUGGAGGUGAGCGGAAUGUGUCAUGUAGCGGUGAAAUGCAUAGAGAUGACACAGAACACCGAUUGCGAAGGCAGCUCACUACGCAGUUAUUGACGCUGAGGCACGAAAGCGUGGGGAUCAAACAGG
Molecule: ribosomal RNA, 253 nt
Filed under: uncultured bacterium
Lineage: Bacteria
Description: partial 16S ribosomal RNA
Rfam family: Bacterial small subunit ribosomal RNA
Source: RNAcentral